CUGGUCUACAGUGUAUAUAAAUAUUAAUUGAAUAAGAUUUCUUUGUGAACGGUUGGUUUUAAUCUGUAACAACAGGUGUACCUCACUUAAUAACGGCAGAUAUGGUAAAAGAGGGAGCUGCAGUUAUUGAUGUCGGCAUCAACCGCAUGCAGGACCCCGUCACUGGAAAACUUCGUCUUGUUGGAGAUGUGGAUUUUGAAGCUGUGAAGAAGAAGGCUGGAUUCAUCACUCCUGUGCCUGGAGGAGUCGGCCCAAUGACCAUCGCCAUGGUAAUGAAAAACACAGUCACUGCUGCCAAAAAUGCUCCAACAUACUGAACAAACACAAAACCUGCCAUUAUGGGUGGACAAGAUACAAGCACUUCAGUCUGGAUACUUUAAUUGGCACUAUUUGUCUGUAUCUUGAUUAUAAACACAAGCCCCUGCAAGCUUCCUCUACAACAUCCUUCCCUGCCCGUCGGCAAGCUGUAACAGGCCGUUCUAGCUGGCACGGCAGCCAUGCAUGGCUAUGACGGUAACUACACCCUAAUUCUUUUCUUAAAAAUUAGAGAGGUGCCUCCUCACUGAUUCUAAGUAGCUGCUACAGUGCUACAGUAUUAUUAUUUUGUCAGAGCCGAGAAAAUAAGGAGGGUUUACUGUGCAAGUGUAACAUUACCUCCCUGACAAUGCAUGGGUGAAGCCGGAAGUCUUCGUUGCAUCAUCCUCACUGAGAGUUUCGGUACGACUUGACUGGCUGCUCAACAGGUGACCUCAUGGCAGGGUAAUAGACGGUUCUCGGAUAUCUGACAGAUGAAUCUGUUGACACUGAGACAAACGGGACAUUAACACAUUUUCUCAGGAAAUCAUUUUAAAAGUGUAGUUUGAAU
Long non-coding RNA from Sinocyclocheilus rhinocerous, 865 nucleotides. RefSeq lists it as uncharacterized. The transcript has 2 exons. NCBI's taxonomy places the organism in Eukaryota, Metazoa, Chordata, Actinopteri, Cypriniformes, Cyprinidae. The record is from RefSeq and is a predicted model, not a curated record.